This 295-nucleotide ribosomal RNA is filed under the name uncultured bacterium. Its description in RNAcentral is "partial 16S ribosomal RNA". It matches the Rfam family "Bacterial small subunit ribosomal RNA", at positions 29 to 309 of the family's 1533-position model. The record is from RNAcentral.
AGCGAACGCUGGCGGCGUGCUUAACACAUGCAAGUCGAACGUGAAAUGUAGCAAUACAGAGUAAAGUGGCGUACGGGUGAGUAACACGUAGGUAAUCUACCUUAGAGUUCGGAAUAACCUGCCGAAAGGCGGGCUAAUACUGGAUAGAGCGAAGAGAAUCAUAAUGAUUCUUUCGGUAAAGGGAGCCUGAUAAGGGCCCUCGCUUUAAGAUGAGCCUGCGUCUGAUUAGCUAGUUGGUGAGGUAAUGGCUCACCAAGGCGAUGAUCAGUAGCUGGUCUGAGAGGGAUGAUCAGCC